ACUAAUUGGACGAUAUGUGGCUUGUAAUAGAUAGCUUGCUGUUCAGCCAUGAUAGUCGGGAGGUACUGCUUUUGUUUAAGCUCAAUUUGUUGUACACAGUUUUAAAAAAUUAAGAACAAUUGAUUGAAUGUGCUUAUUUGCCGAGAUGAUUUGGUUAAAGGAAAAGGUUUUCUGUCAGCAAACGAAUGCAGAUCUGGUGGUUCUAAUUUGCGGGUUAUAGUUUCAUUUUUGUAUCUCCCACACUGGAAUGAAUAAACAAUAACGGUAUUUGCUAAAGAUUAAUAGAAAAAGUGGGGGAAACCGAAAUUUAACGGAGUCUAUCGAAGUUAAAUAUAGUUGCAGUAACCCCACCACAUCGGGGGAUCGGACAGAGAACAGGGAGUGGGAAAGUGUUAAAGAUUUAGAAUUAGUGGCUAUCGGUCGGGUGAGGGGUCGUGGGCCGGAGAUCAUCGCUUCGGAACAAUAAACAAAAGUGGUUUUGCGAUGACAUUUCCCCCGGUCCGUAACGAACAAUGCUCGACGUAUUCCGAGGUCUCAAGAACUUGAUCAAAGUCAGCAACAUCCGGAUCGACUCGCCGGUAUUCAGACUCCACUACAGCAUAACUGUUAUGAUACUUAUAGCGUUCUCGCUCAUCGUCACGACCAGGCAAUAUGUUGGAAACCCGAUCGACUGCGUCCACACCAAGGACAUACCCGAGGACGUGCUCAACACUUACUGCUGGAUCCACUCGACGUACACGCUCAAAUCCGCUUUCAAGAAGAAAGUCGGGGUCGUCGUACCUUACCCGGGUGUGGACAACAGCAGGGGAGAGACGGAAGACCGCAAAUGCUACACGUACUACCAGUGGGUCUGCUUUUGCCUCUUCUUUCAAGCGGUACUGUUUUACAUGCCGAGAUGGCUGUGGAAGCAUUGGGAAGGAGGGAAGAUCCACGCCCUGAUGAUGGACCUCGACGUCGGCAUAUGUUCGGAGAUCGAGAAACGUCAGAAGAAGAAGCUUCUCCUGGAUUACCUCUGGGAGAACUUGCGCUACCACAACUGGUGGUGUUUCCGCUACUUCCUCUGCGAGUUGCUGUCCCUGGCCAACGUCGUCGGCCAAAUGUUUCUCAUGGACCGGUUCUUCGACGGAGCGUUCCUCACGUUCGGAAUCGACGUUUUCCGCUUUCUGGAGAGUGACCAGGAAGACAGGGUCGACCCGAUGAUCUUCAUUUUCCCAAGGAUGACCAAGUGCACCUUCUACAAGUACGGCGUGUCCGGCGAGGUCGAACGGCACGACGCCGUCUGCAUCCUCCCGCUCAACGUGGUCAACGAAAAGAUCUACGUCUUCUUGUGGUUCUGGUUCCUCAUUCUCGGAGCUCUCACCUCCGUCGUUAUUCUCUAUAGGAUUAUGAUCAUCCUCAGCCCGAGGAUGAGGGUGUACCUUUUGAGGCUGCGAUUCCGGCUGGUCCGCCGGGAGGCCAUAGACGCGAUCGUCCGGCGUUCUAAAAUGGGCGACUGGUUCCUGCUGUACAUGCUGGGCGAAAACAUAGAUUCGAUCAUAUUCCGCGACGUCGUACACGAACUCGCUUCGAAGCUCGGCACGGCGAAGCCUAUCGAACCCUAGCCGAGGCCUCCGCCCCCUCUCCGUCUCAACUGGGACAGAUGGAAUAGGAAGUUAGAUUUCCGAACCGGCGGCAAAUUUUUUUUGCGGUUUUUGAAGAACGCAGCGAAAAACCUGUGUAAGUUUGAAAAUGGUGUUGGUGGGGGCGCGGAACCUGAGAUUUGCGUGAUCGACGUCCACCCGUCCCCGACUCUUAUCUAAGGAGUUUCGGAGAGAGAAAAAAAAGACGUUCUGACACCCCCGGGGGGGGGCAGGAAAAACGCCACUUUUCCACUUUUCUACAUGGAAGAAAGGACGAAAUUUGAUGAAGUGUUCAUCGAUACGCAACUGUGCGAAUGAUAGCAUUUUUAAAAUGUGACUAUAUGAUCAAGUUGAUUGGAGACUGUCGAAACAUGUGCAAUCCAUAAAAAAAAAGAAUUAAGUUCAAAUUUGUACUAAAAAUAUAAGAAAAUAAGCAUUUAAUUUUUUAUACUUCGUGCAAUAUGCAAAGGGAAAAGAUGUAUAGAAAAGAAUGUUUACCUGGCAUAAUUUAAAUCAUCAUUUGAUCUGCCACAAAAAAAAAUCCUAUUUUAUACUCUUUUACUGUGUUAAUUUUGUGUGUGUAUAUAUGACAAAUUUUACCGACAAAAACGUUAAAAAUCAAUGAACAUUCAUUUGAGUAAAACUACGACGUUUUUCUAAUUAUUAUCGAUAUUAGUGCAAUUUUUAUAAUUUAAAAUGAUUUAAACUAAAUUUUUGCUGAAGUUUUGUAAAUAAUAAACUUUUUUUUUAAAGAAGUGAUGAUAUUACGGCGGCAGAAAUAGUGUGUAUGUGUGCGUGCGUUCUCGCUUGUACUUUUGGAAUUUAUGAACGUCGUCGAAUACAAACAAUAUAACGUUUGUUAUGCUUUAUAGACCAAAUUUGUACAGGUUUAAGUAACUGGUAGUAUUUAUCUAGUAAUCUAAGUCUUAAUAUGUCAAUAAAAUUUCUUUUUUA
Molecule: RNA transcript, 2573 nt
Organism: Cimex lectularius (bed bug)
Lineage: Eukaryota; Metazoa; Arthropoda; Insecta; Hemiptera; Cimicidae
Gene: shakB
Gene name: innexin shaking-B
Exons: 6
Source: RefSeq, a predicted model, not a curated record